This 501-nucleotide ribosomal RNA is filed under the name uncultured bacterium. RNAcentral's name for it is "partial 16S ribosomal RNA". It matches the Rfam family "Bacterial small subunit ribosomal RNA", at positions 30 to 523 of the family's 1533-position model. The record is from RNAcentral.
AUUGAACGCUGGCGGCAGGCUUAACACAUGCAAGUCGAGCGGGGGAAGGUAGCUUGCUACCGGACCUAGCGGCGGACGGGUGAGUAAUGCUUAGGAAUCUGCCUAUUAGUGGGGGACAACAUCUCGAAAGGGAUGCUAAUACCGCAUACGUCCUACGGGAGAAAGCAGGGGAUCUUCGGACCUUGCGCUAAUAGAUGAGCCUAAGUCGGAUUAGCUAGUUGGUGGGGUAAAGGCCUACCAAGGCGACGAUCUGUAGCGGGUCUGAGAGGAUGAUCCGCCACACUGGGACUGAGAAACGGCCCAGACUCCUACGGGAGGCAGCAGUGGGGAAUAUUGGACAAUGGGGGGAACCCCGAUCCAGCCAUGCCGCGUGUGUGAAGAAGGCCUUAUGGUUGUAAAGCACUUUAAGCGAGGAGGAGGCUACUCUAGUUAAUACCUAGGGAUAGUGGACGUUACUCGCAGAAUAAGCACCGGCUAACUCUGUGCCAGCCGCCGCCGUAA